GCCGCUGCGGUGGGUGUCGGUGGACCAAUCUCGGUUGCCAGGGUCAGAGGAAGCCGGGAAUUUCCGGUUAGCAUGUCGACGGCCCAGACCACCUGGCUUCGCAGUGACAGAAAAACUGGCUGUUCGAGCUUCUGAGAUCUCAGUUCCCAGACCAAGGAUUGAAUCCAGGCAAUGGCACUGAGAGUACUGACCUAACAGGUUUGAUUCCUGGGACACUCCAACACUUAAAACUCAAUCAGCAGAGAAACAGUCAGCCAAGAAGGGCUGAGAAGGAGCCAUCAAUGAGACAAUAUAAAGGAGGAGAGCUGAGGAAGAAAAAGUUUUCAGAAGUAGCAAGUGGUUCACUCUGUCAAAUGCUGCUGAGAGAUCAAGUAGGAUGAACAGAAACCAGGUGAUCACUGGAACUGGCCCCAGUGCAUCCUGGGAGGAGUCAUGUUGGAGCCGUUUUCAGCUGAGUGAGGACCGCAGUCAGAUUAAGAAGAGGUGAAAACACAAAGGGAGGUGAGAGCAUGGAGUGGGUGAAUAUAGAUAUUGCACCCCAGAAGUGUUACUGGAAAAGGGAGCAGAGAAUGAUGUUGCAGUUGGAGGGUUAUGUAGAGCCCAUGGAGAGUUCUGUGUAACAAGCCAGGUUACCAGGGCAGCAUGGUGAUGGACUGCAUGUGGAAACACUGCCACUGGCUGGAGCAGAGGCCCUUCAUUCUAGCCAUAAAGGGGAAGGAAGGGAAGGUGGGCCCAGGGAAAGAUGUGAAUUCUGUUAUGAUGGCCAGCAGAGGAAAAUUUUGUAUGAGUUGCUUCUGUUCUGUCUUUGUAAUAUGAGACCAGGUCAUCUACUGAGAGCACAUGUCAAAUACCAGUGGUUGGACUUGUUUACUGGGGGUUUGAAAAGAUUGGAGAAGUAAUUAGUGACAGUCAUUUUGGAGAGUGGGGACACCAAUACAGAAGGAUUGAAGAGAAGUGACUAAGAUGAUUAGGCUGACUUGAGGGCCCAUUUGAGAUUGAUGUUUAUGAAAGUAAAGUGAGGGGAAUUCUUUGGUGGUUCCAUGGUUAGGACUCCAUGCUUUCACUGUUUAGAGUAAGAAUUCAAGCCCUCUUGGGAGUUGGAGAAGACUCUUGAGAGUCCCUCGGACUGCAAAGAGAUCCAACCAGUCCAUCCUAAAGGAGAUCAGUCCCGGGUGUUCAUUGGAAGGACUGAUGCUAAAGCUGAAACUCCAAUACUUUGGCCACCUCAUAUGAAAAGUUGACUCAUUGGAAAAGACUCUGAUGCUGGGAGGGAUUGGGGGCAGGAGGAGAAGGGGAUGACAGAGGAUGAGAUGGCUGGAUGGCAUCACCAACUUGAUGGACAUGAGUUUGAGUAAACUCCAGGAGUUGAUGUUGGCCAGGGAGGCCUGGCGUGCUGCGAUCCAUGGGGUCGCAAAGAGUCGGACACGACUGAGCGACUGAACUGAACUGAAGUGGGAAACUAAGGUCCCAGAAGCUGUGAGGCACAGCCAAAACAGAUUAAAAAUUUAAAACAUUGAGAAUCAGCAUGCUUAUGGAUUUCUCUAGCAGUAUCCACCUGUUUCAGUACAGGUGAGGAUGUAGGAAAUAAUAAGUGUCAGAUCAUUAUUUCCUAAAUAUACACACAUGUAUUUCUUCAGAGACAUUAAAUGGGUCCAAACAAAGGAAGACAAGGUAUGAAUUGCAAAGCUUUUAAUGAAAAUGUUUGUUUUUCUUUUACAACAUGCAUAAAUUCACAUAGGUUUGAUAGCAGUUAAUUCAAUGCUUACAGACUUAUCUGCCUCUGAAUUUAGUCAUAAUGGAUUAAUUUAAGCUAAUAAAACUAAGGAAAAUCAACAGCUCAUCUAAUUCUUCUUUAUAUUCCUUCAGGAUCAGCAAGAUGCAUAAAUGAGUUCUUUAUAAAGGCUAAAAUAGGUUGAUGUAUAAAUUGUAAGCUUAUUUUAAAAAUUCUGUGUACAUGCAACAUUUCUAUGAAAACAUUUAAACCAAAUGUCACACUUGUGAAAACAAAAUUCUUGAUUUGGGCUGUUUCCAUUUUUAGCCAUUUGACGUUCUGCUCUUUUUGACUGAAUAGAUGAGAGUUCACAUGCCUACACAGGUGGGACUUUGCCUAAGAUCAAUUUGCUUAAAGAUAUUCUUUUGUUAUAUUUUUGUUGAAUAUUAGGGAGUACUUAUAUCAUUCAA
Capra hircus (goat) is the source of this 2181-nucleotide RNA transcript. RefSeq lists it as uncharacterized. Lineage: Eukaryota; Metazoa; Chordata; Mammalia; Artiodactyla; Bovidae. The transcript has 3 exons. The record is from RefSeq and is a predicted model, not a curated record.